AACGCGAAGAACCUUACCUGGGCUUGACAUGCACUGGAAAGCCGUAGAGAUACGGCCCCCCUUGUGGCCGGUGUACAGGUGGUGCAUGGCUGUCGUCAGCUCGUGUCGUGAGAUGUUGGGUUAAGUCCCGCAACGAGCGCAACCCUCGUUCCAUGUUGCCAGCGCGUAACGGCGGGGACUCAUGGGAGACUGCCGGGGUCAACUCGGAGGAAGGUGGGGAUGACGUCAAGUCAUCAUGCCCCUUAUGUCCAGGGCUUCACACAUGCUACAAUGGCCGGUACAGAGGGCUGCUAAGCCGUGAGGUGGAGCGAAUCCCACAAAGCCGGUCUCAGUUCGGAUCGGGGUCUGCAACUCGACCCCGUGAAGUCGGAGUCGCUAGUAAUCGCAGAUCAGCAACGCUGCGGUAAAUACGUUCCCGGGCCUUGUACACACCG
RNAcentral lists this ribosomal RNA (434 nucleotides) under uncultured bacterium. Its description in RNAcentral is "bacterial SSU rRNA". It matches the Rfam family "Bacterial small subunit ribosomal RNA", at positions 958 to 1392 of the family's 1533-position model. The record is from RNAcentral.